Molecule: long non-coding RNA, 724 nt
Filed under: Ananas comosus (pineapple)
Lineage: Eukaryota; Viridiplantae; Streptophyta; Magnoliopsida; Poales; Bromeliaceae
Description: long non-coding RNA (ACOM_LNC030883)
Source: RNAcentral
AAAAAAGGUUUAAAAUAUUGUUAGACAAGAAUUAAAUAAAAAAGAACACAAAGAUGGAUGUGUUGGCUUAAAUGGGCCAGUAUCCUCUCCUGUAGCGGUAGGUCAUGUUGAGUCGAGUCAUGUUCGAAAUAGCAUGAGGCUGGGGGGACCGAGUCAUGUUCGAAGUGGCGUGAAGCUGGUUGGGCCCGGUCACAAUCGAGACCUUGUGGGCGCUGUAUCUAUACAUUUUAAGUGAAUUGAUUGCGUAUUUCUAACAGCUCGAGAUUUUGGGAUUAAUGGUUAGCCUCAACGAUCCGACAGAAUGAGGAUGACUAAAGGAAAUAGUACUGUUUUUUUUUCUUGAAAAAGCCAUAGGCAUUUUAUUAAAGUAGAGUUCAAUGACAUCUUUUAUUUAUCUAACCUUCUGUUUGGAUGUCGGAAUAAAUUAUUCAAAAAUAGCUUAUUUUGUAUAAUAAUUUUCUAGUAUGGUCGUAAAUAAAAAGCUUGAUUUUUACUCCUUCAAAAAUCUUGUUGUCCAUAAUUUAGUAUGAUAACAUAUUUCAACUACAAAGUAAUUUAUUUUAUCCAAAAAAUAACUUGAAGAUUGAACGCAGUAUUCAGUUUUAAACAUCUUAUCACAUUUUUUAUCAAUCACAUAUACAAAAUUUUUGAAUAAAUUAAGAAGAUAUACCGAAUAAGAUAUUCAUAUAAUUAGUCAACACAAAAAAAAAUCUACUAUUAUAUA